RNAcentral lists this ribosomal RNA (490 nucleotides) under uncultured bacterium. RNAcentral's name for it is "partial 16S ribosomal RNA". It matches the Rfam family "Bacterial small subunit ribosomal RNA", at positions 30 to 507 of the family's 1533-position model. The record is from RNAcentral.
AUUGAACGCUGGCGGCAGGCCUAACACAUGCAAGUCGAACGGUAACAGGAAGCAGCUUGCUGCUUUGCUGACGAGUGGCGGACGGGUGAGUAAUGUCUGGGAAACUGCCUGAUGGAGGGGGAUAACUACUGGAAACGGUAGCUAAUACCGCAUAACGUCGCAAGACCAAAGGGGAGGACCUUCGGGCCUCUUGCCAGCUGAUGUGCCCAGAUGGGAUUAGCUAGUAGGUGGGGUAACGGCUCACCUAGGCGACGAUCCCUAGCUGGUCUGAGAGGAUGACCAGCCACACUGGAACUGAGACACGGUCCAGACUCCUACGGGAGGCAGCAGUGGGGAAUAUUGGACAAUGGGCGCAAGCCUGAUGCAGCCAUGCCGCGUGUAUGAAGAAGGCCUUCGGGUUGUAAAGUACUUUCAGCGGGGAGGAAGGGAGUAAAGUUAAUACCUCUGCUCAUUGACGUUACCCGCAGAAGAAGCACCGGCUAACUCCGUG